Molecule: ribosomal RNA, 413 nt
Filed under: uncultured prokaryote
Description: bacterial SSU rRNA
Rfam family: Bacterial small subunit ribosomal RNA
Source: RNAcentral
GUGUCAGCCGCCGCGGUAAGACGUAGGGGGCAAGCGUUGCUCGGAAUCACUGGGCUUAAAGGGCGCGUAGGCGGUUGUGUAAGUCCAGGGUUGAAGGCCCCGGCUCAACCGGGGAAAGGCCUUGGAGACUGCAUGACUUGAGUGAGCGAGGGGAGGGCGGAAUUCCUGGUGUAGCGGUGAAAUGCGUAGAUAUCAGGAGGAAGGCCUGUGGCGAAGGCGGCCCUCUGGCGCUAAACGGACGCUGGGGCGCGAAAGCGGGGGUAGCAAACAGGAUUAGAUCCCCUGGUAGUCCAUGCCCUAAACGGUGGGCACUAGGUGUGGGGCUCGAGAGGGUUCCGUGCCGAAGGGAAACCAAUAAGUGCCCCGCCUGGGAAGUACGGCCGCAAGGCUGAAACUUAAAGGAAUUGACGGGG